GUGGGAGAUCAUCAACUUGUCCUUGGUGACAAAGAAAUAUGAGUCUUUCCUAAGUUACUCAACUUUCAAGUGGCCAAACAGAGCUGAACAGCUCACAGGAAGUCAUCAUCGACCUCAGAAAAGUGAGAACCCCAGAAAAAUUGAAACUUGCUUUGCUCAAUUUGAUGCCAAAUUUCCUUUUAAACUAAAUGAGUAAUAGCCAUGAUUUUCAAUACCCUUUUCUCCCCUUCAUCUCAUGUCCACACGAAAAAGUCAGCCCCAGUUUAGUCUCACUGUACCUUUUAAAACCACUACUGGGUAAACCAGAACUCUGCUCUUGUUCUCUCUCUGCCCUCAGAAAGAAACACACAAACACAAGCUGUGUCAGAUGAUGAAGGUUCCAACUUUUUUCUCCAUUUCAAUCAGAAUUGACAAAGUCAAAGCAAGAGGACCCAUCAGGCCAUCACUAAUUUUCAUGGGUUAUGACUUUCUCUCUUUUUCAUUUGGUUUACUUUGAUGUUCUUGUGAAAUUUGUGCAGAAAGGUUCAUGUUCAUGUGGUGGAUGAGGCAGGUGAGCUUUCUGGGUGAUUGAAUAGGGCGUUGACAGAAGAUAGAGAGCACAAGUGAGCAUGCACAGGAAGGGCUUGUGCAUGGCCAGUCUUGUGCUCCCCCUCUUCUGUCAACAUGGCUUUAACUAGUUCUGCUUCUAUAAGUUCAUUCCCAUGCCUCGGUCGAACCCGGGUACUCGUCUUUGAUGUAUGUACAGGUCUCCGCACGCUGAGUUUAGUUCUCUGUCCUAUCGCUUCUCAUUGACUUUGACUAUUACGUUAGAGUUCGAGAAUAAUUCCGUCUUCCAUGUGCAUUACAAGCUUUGAAGUGGUGAAUUGGAUGAGUUCAUCAAAGGGCCGCUCCCCUUUUUCGAAACGGUGAUUCGGAUAGAGAGUCGUUUGCAUCUCAUUGUAUCUGUGCUUUGUAUAGCCCAAAAAAAGAGAGAAUCGUCAUUUCGACUUGAUCUGUUUGGCGUCGGACCAUAAACCGAAGCCCAUUCGAUUCAAUCCGGAGAUGUUGAGACUGCUGAUUCAUAUAGGCUCGAAUUCGACUCUCACUUGCUUAGUUGUUGUAAUGUUCACAUGAACUCUGCUUCCGAAGGUUGAUCUCUGCUUGCUGUGACUUCGGUGUAGACAAACUCCACUUCACUAACCACCCAAAGAUUGAAAAAUCA
Molecule: long non-coding RNA, 1201 nt
Organism: Syzygium oleosum
Lineage: Eukaryota; Viridiplantae; Streptophyta; Magnoliopsida; Myrtales; Myrtaceae
Exons: 2
Source: RefSeq, a predicted model, not a curated record